This 515-nucleotide long non-coding RNA is filed under the name Erythranthe guttata (spotted monkey flower). Its description in RNAcentral is "long non-coding RNA (EGUT_LNC001699)". Lineage: Eukaryota; Viridiplantae; Streptophyta; Magnoliopsida; Lamiales; Phrymaceae. The record is from RNAcentral.
AAGAGAUUUGGCCAUAAAUAUAAACUUGUUGGCCAAGAAUAUAAGUUCCGGAUCUGAUGUAUUCUCUAUUCACAUAAUUAUCUUGUUUCCUUGUUUGCCGCUGGGUGGGAUUCAAUAUAAUCUCCUCUAGGUUGGAAACUAGCAGCAGCAGCCGCCAAUUCUUUGAAUCUUCUGAGCUUGUGUCAGUAAUUUUUUUUUUUGGAGUUUUGAAUUUGUAAUUCUCGUGUUUUUUUUUGAGAAAUCAGUGUGAUUGGGGGAUAUUUGGGAGGAAAAUCAUUGGAAUUCUAGUUUUAUUAAUUUGAUUUAUUGUACUUGACAGGUGGUUUGUUUGGUGAAUUAAUUGUUCUCUACUGCUUCCUGAUUUGAGAUUGUGUUUUUAAUGGAGCAAAGAGAGGGAGGGGAAAAUCAGCCGCCGCCUCAAUCGGAAGCUUCUUCAACGGCGGCAGCGGUUUUCCUGGCGAGUAACCUUGUGAGGCCGAUGGAUUUGACUGGGUCUAGUGGUGGUGGUGGUGGUG